RNAcentral lists this ribosomal RNA (484 nucleotides) under uncultured bacterium. RNAcentral's name for it is "partial 16S ribosomal RNA". It matches the Rfam family "Bacterial small subunit ribosomal RNA", at positions 28 to 523 of the family's 1533-position model. The record is from RNAcentral.
GACGAACGCUGGCGGCGUGCUUAACACAUGCAAGUCGAACGAUGAACCCGGAGCUUGCUCCGGUGGGUUAGUGGCGAACGGGUGAGUAACACGUGAGUAACCUGCCCUUGACUCUGGGAUAACUGCGGGAAACUGUAGCUAAUACCGGAUACGACCCUCGGCGGCAUCGCCAGGGGGUGGAAAGAAUUUCGGUCAAGGAUGGACUCGCGGCCUAUCAGCUAGUUGGUGAGGUAACGGCUCACCAAGGCGACGACGGGUAGCCGGCCUGAGAGGGUGACCGGCCACACUGGGACUGAGACACGGCCCAGACUCCUACGGGAGGCAGCAGUGGGGAAUAUUGCACAAUGGGCGCAAGCCUGAUGCAGCAACGCCGCGUGAGGGAUGACGGCCUUCGGGUUGUAAACCUCUUUUAGUAGGGAAGAAGCGAAAGCGACGGUACCUGCAGAAAAAGCACCGGCUAACUACGUGCCAGCAGCCGCCGUAA